This 497-nucleotide ribosomal RNA is filed under the name uncultured bacterium. RNAcentral's name for it is "partial 16S ribosomal RNA". It matches the Rfam family "Bacterial small subunit ribosomal RNA", at positions 28 to 507 of the family's 1533-position model. The record is from RNAcentral.
GAUGAACGCUGGCGGCGUGCCUAAUACAUGCAAGUCGAGCGAACGGACGAGAAGCUUGCUUCUCUGAUGUUAGCGGCGGACGGGUGAGUAACACGUGGAUAACCUACCUAUAAGACUGGGAUAACUUCGGGAAACCGGAGCUAAUACCGGAUAAUAUUUUGAACCGCAUGGUUCAAAAGUGAAAGACGGUCUUGCUGUCACUUAUAGAUGGAUCCGCGCUGCAUUAGCUAGUUGGUAAGGUAACGGCUUACCAAGGCAACGAUGCAUAGCCGACGUGAGAGGGUGAUCGGCCACACUGGAACUGGGACACGGUCCAGACUCCUACGGGAGGCAGCAGUAGGGAAUCUUCCGCAAUGGGCGAAAGCCUGACGGAGCAACGCCGCGUGAGUGAUGAAGGUCUUCGGAUCGUAAAACUCUGUUAUUAGGGAAGAACAUAUGUGUAAGUAACUGUGCACAUCUUGACGGUACCUAAUCAGAAAGCCACGGCUAACUACGUG